UUAAAUAAAAUUAGUUUGAGUUUUAGGGAAAAAGGUAAAAGCCUUUGCAGCCCCCGCUACUGUGAAACGGAUGAAACCAUAAUAUCCACUGUCAAGUUGAUGGGAAGGUAUGGGAGUAAAAUGAUGUUAAGCCAGGAGACCUGCUUAAAUUAAUUAUUUAAA
This 162-nucleotide non-coding RNA is filed under the name Terrisporobacter othiniensis. Lineage: Bacteria; Bacillati; Bacillota; Clostridia; Peptostreptococcales; Peptostreptococcaceae. RNAcentral also lists the same sequence under 1 other name. The record is from RNAcentral.